UACGUAGGGUGCAAGCGUUAAUCGGAAUUACUGGGCGUAAAGCGUGCGCAGGCGGUUUUGUAAGUCUGAUGUGAAAUCCCCGGGCUCAACCUGGGAAUUGCAUUGGAGACUGCAAGGCUAGAAUCUGGCAGAGGGGGGUAGAAUUCCACGUGUAGCAGUGAAAUGCGUAGAGAUGUGGAGGAACACCGAUGGCGAAGGCAGCCCCCUGGGUCAAGAUUGACGCUCAUGCACGAAAGCGUGGGGAGCAAACGGG
RNAcentral lists this ribosomal RNA (253 nucleotides) under uncultured bacterium. RNAcentral describes it as "partial 16S ribosomal RNA". It matches the Rfam family "Bacterial small subunit ribosomal RNA", at positions 524 to 776 of the family's 1533-position model. The record is from RNAcentral.